RNAcentral lists this ribosomal RNA (460 nucleotides) under uncultured bacterium. RNAcentral's name for it is "partial 16S ribosomal RNA". It matches the Rfam family "Bacterial small subunit ribosomal RNA", at positions 338 to 795 of the family's 1533-position model. The record is from RNAcentral.
CCUACGGGUGGCAGCAGUGAGGAAUAUUGGUCAAUGGGCGCGAGCCUGAACCAGCCAAGUAGCGUGAAGGAUGACUGCCCUACGGGUUGUAAACUUCUUUUAUAAAGGCAUAAAGUGAGGCACGUGUGCCUUUUUGUACGUACUUUAUGAUUAAGGAUCGGCUAACUCCGUGCCAGCAGCCGCGGUAAUACGGAUGAUCCGAGCGUUAUCCGGAUUUAUUGGGUUUAAAGGGAGCGUAGAUGGGUUGUUAAGUCAGUCGUGAAAGUUUGCGGCUCAACCGUAAAAUUGCAAUUGUUACUAGCAGCCUUGAGUACAGUUGAGGUAGGCGGAAUUCGUAGUGUAGCGGUGAAAUGCUUAGAUAUCACGAAGAACUCCGAUUGCGAAGGCAGCCUACUAAACUGCCACUGACAUUGAUGCUCGAAAGUGUGGGUAUCAAACAGGAUUAGAUACCCUAGUAGUC